Molecule: non-coding RNA, 77 nt
Organism: Trichonephila clavipes
Lineage: Eukaryota; Metazoa; Arthropoda; Arachnida; Araneae; Nephilidae
Source: the annotation of a GenBank genome assembly
UGCUCAACGAAUAGCGCGCGCGCGCGCGUGUUGGACUUCUAAUCCAAAGGUCGUGGGUUUGAAUCCCACCUGGGCAG